This 210-nucleotide long non-coding RNA is filed under the name Mytilus galloprovincialis (Mediterranean mussel). The record is from RNAcentral. Lineage: Eukaryota; Metazoa; Mollusca; Bivalvia; Mytilida; Mytilidae.
GCCCCUUGUAAUAAAUUUUAAAACAAUACAACUACAAUACGGGUUAAUCAUGAUAAAUUGUCGUUAAAACCUUUGUUGAUGUAGUUUAUACGUGUUUCUUGUUUCUCGUUUUUUUACAGAUUAGACAGUUGGUUUUCCCGUUUGAAUUGUUUUACACUACUUAUUUUUGAGGCUCUUUAUAGCUUGCUGUUCGGCUUAAGCCAAAGCUAC